GUCGAGAAUCUUUCGCAAUGCCCGAAAGGGUGACGAAGCGACGCCGCGUGCGGGAGGAAGGCCUUCGGGUUGUAAACCGCUGUCGGGAGUUAAGAAAUGCAAGGAUGUUAAUAGCGUUCUUGCUUGACUAAGGCUCCGGAGGAAGCCACGGCUAACUCUGUGCCAGCAGCCGCGGUAAUACAGAGGCGGCAAGCGUUGUUCGGAAUUAUUGGGCGUAAAGAGCACGUAGGCGGCUGUGUAAGUCGGUUGUGAAAGCCUUCCGCUCAACGGAAGAACGGCAUCCGAUACUGCAUGGCUUGAGUGUGGGAGGGGAGAGUGGAACUUCUGGUGGAGCGGUGAAAUGCGUAGAUAUCAGAAGGAACACCGGCGGCGAAGGCGACUCUCUGGUCCAUAACUGACGCUGAGUGUGCGAAAGCUAGGGGAGCAAACGGGAUUAGAAACCCUAGUAGUCC
RNAcentral lists this ribosomal RNA (452 nucleotides) under uncultured bacterium. RNAcentral describes it as "bacterial SSU rRNA". It matches the Rfam family "Bacterial small subunit ribosomal RNA", at positions 354 to 796 of the family's 1533-position model. The record is from RNAcentral.